AGUAAUGCUGUAUAGGCUGUUUUGGAAGAACUGUGGAUAUGAGAGAACCUCUUGGUUUUUCUUUACAGAUGCAGGUCUGCUUCCCCCACCAGCUGCUGCUCCAUUUUUCUCUAUAUUUGAUGAAUCCUCUACUUUGACAAAUCAGAACAUAAGUUGUUCAGCAGAUCGUAGCCGGAAAAGUGCCCGUCCCCCUCUCGCUGUUCUUAAGCCUGUGGAUUCUCUGAGUGCCAAGGAAAGCGCAGCAGCAGCAGCAGCAGCAGCCUGUAAUGAGCUGAAUGGAAUUGAACGUUUGGCUGAGGAUGCAAUUGUGACAGGCUCCUACAAGAACAAGACCCUUUGUGCCAACCCAGAGGACAUGUGUGACUUUAACAGGGCUGCCCACCUGGCCUCAACACCCUUCCACGGGGUGGUGGCUCAGAGGGUCCCAGCUCCUGCUUUCUCUCAGAGUGAACUGAAGGAAGAAGAUAGUCCAGAAUCCAGGAGUGCACCUCUGGCUUAGGAGACACCAGUGUGUGCAGGAGUAUACAUGAAUCUUGGAAAGUGCAGAGAUGGAGCCCCUUGGAGAGUAGCAGUGUGUCGCUAGAGGACGUGGACCGAUUCAUACAAACAGGUCUCAGUGGUGUCAUAGAAAAAAAAGAGCUUUUAUUUUCCUGACUCCAGUAUUUAUAGAUUUUUUUGUCAAUGACCAGGGAGGUAUUGGGUAAUUGUUAUAAAUGAAAUGCAACCAAAUUUAUCAAUAAUAAUUUUAUUGAACAAUUUGUUAAUUUUAGUUAUGGAAACAACCACAUCACAGUUAAGGUUGAAGCGUCGAGCCUGGGAUCGGCACUGGGUGAACUCUGAAUCAAUCUCUAUUGCCCUGAUUCCUCCAAGUUCAGCCAGCGAACAACCACAGUCCAGAGAGGUCACGAGCUAGCUCAGGAGCUCUCCGAGAACUCUAGAAGACCAAAAGGACAUCUUCCAAACCGUGGCAAAAAUUUGCUCUUAAAAUCUGAGUGCACAAAGAACCCACGCAAGAAAAAGGCACCGUAAGUAUUGCCUGGUUGAGCAGGGCAAUUGAGCGUGAUUGAGACGUGAUUUUAUCAUGAAGUGAGUGUGGACACCAAGGCUGCAGCUCUGUCUUCCUGCGAGGAAAAUGGUCGGCCAUGCGGGAAGCGUGUGGAAAAUUCCCAAAAAAAUCCUGUCAAAAAACCCCGAAUGGAAAGUUGUCAGGAGGGGAGGGGGACUUUUUGAGAAAGAAGCACAGCUCACCUCGUAGUUCUAAAGGGAAAGUUCCAGUGGGGAACGCAUAAGAGUCAUUCCCAACUCCUGUUAACCCAAAAUUGGGUAAGAGUGGUUUUUGGGGGGAAAUCUUGGGAAAGGGUCUUGGUUCACCCAAAGGGAGAGGUUCCGGGAACGCGCAGACUACACAGUCUCACGGUAUGCCUUCAGUGUGGUACAUACUUUUGGGAAGAUUUGGGAAGAAAGAGGAUUGAUAAAUACUAAGGGAAAAGACCUAAUCCAUGGGGAAAUAAUCCGACAGAUUCUAGAGGCUGUCCGAGAGCCGGAAGAAAUAUCAGUUGUCCAUGUAAAAGGACACCAGACGGGGUUGCAGUUUCAAACCCGAGGUAACAACCUAGCCGAUAAAGAGGCAAAACGAGCAGCUCUGCUCACCGUAAGUAUUCC
This is a non-coding RNA of Cyanistes caeruleus (blue tit), 1662 nucleotides long. Lineage: Eukaryota; Metazoa; Chordata; Aves; Passeriformes; Paridae. The record is from RefSeq and is a predicted model, not a curated record.